Molecule: non-coding RNA, 185 nt
Organism: Arabidopsis thaliana (thale cress)
Lineage: Eukaryota; Viridiplantae; Streptophyta; Magnoliopsida; Brassicales; Brassicaceae
Product: other RNA
Exons: 2
Source: RefSeq
UUGCUUUAGUUUCUCUUGUACCUUGAGAAAAACAACAAAAUCGCAUUGGUUAGAUCAGUUUGGCAUAUUCAACCGAUGCCCAGAGCUACAGAUUUUAAGGUGUUUGGAAAGCUAACGGAAAGAAAGACCAUUUGAAGGAAGCUAGCUCAAUCAGGAAUUUUCAAGACAUGUAUCUGCACCUUUAC